Molecule: ribosomal RNA, 408 nt
Filed under: uncultured bacterium
Lineage: Bacteria
Description: partial 16S ribosomal RNA
Rfam family: Bacterial small subunit ribosomal RNA
Source: RNAcentral
GACGAACGCUGGCGGCGUGCUUAACACAUGCAAGUCGAACGAAGUGGCGAACGUGUGAGUAACGCGUAAUAAACCUGCCCUUCAGAGGGGGACAACAGUUGGAAACGACUGCUAAUACCGCAUACUGAAGGUGGGGAUUGCGUCUGAUUAGCUAGUUGGAGGGGUAACGGCCCACCAAGGCGAUGAUCAGUAGACAGUCUGAGAGGAGGAACGGCCACAUUGGGACUGAGACACGGCCCAAAGUCCUGCGGGAGGAAGCAGUGGGGAAUCGUCCGACAUGGACGAAAGUCUGACGGGACAACGCCGCGUGAGUGAUAAAGGCCUUCGGGUUGUCAAGCUCUGUUAAUCGGGACGCAGUACCGGAAUAGAAAGCCACGGCUAACUACGUGCCAGCAGCCGCGGUAAUAC